UAUAUAUAUAUAUAUAUAUAUAUAUAUAUACAUACAUAUCUGUAAAUGUAAUAUGUGGCAAUUAUUCGGUAGCCAUGAUAAAACUCCGUGUUUCGGAUGCGAGUUGGAAAUCCAUGCCACCACCUCUUCAGUUAUCCAACCAUCGAAAAAUGCUAUGAAAAAUGGGAUAGCAGUUUUACACACACACACA
This is a long non-coding RNA of Octopus sinensis (East Asian common octopus), 190 nucleotides long. RefSeq lists it as uncharacterized. The transcript has 3 exons. NCBI's taxonomy places the organism in Eukaryota, Metazoa, Mollusca, Cephalopoda, Octopoda, Octopodidae. The record is from RefSeq and is a predicted model, not a curated record.